This 23-nucleotide small nuclear RNA is filed under the name Arabidopsis thaliana (thale cress). RNAcentral's name for it is "snRNA_02860". The record is from RNAcentral. Lineage: Eukaryota; Viridiplantae; Streptophyta; Magnoliopsida; Brassicales; Brassicaceae.
AGAGGAUUUUUUUCGCCCACUAU